GAUGAACGCUAGCGGCAGGCCUAACACAUGCAAGUCGAGGGAGAAGCCCUUUCGGGGGCAGAAACCGGCGCACGGGUGCGUAACGCGUAUGCAACCUACCUUUCACAGGGGGAUAGCCCGAAGAAAUUUGGAUUAAUACCCCAUAAUAUUAUUGGAUGGCAUCAUUUGAUAAUUAAAACUGCGGUGGUGAAAGAUGGGCAUGCGUCCUAUUAGCUAGUUGGAGUGGUAACGGCACCCCAAGGCUACGAUAGGUAGGGGUCCUGAGAGGGAGAUCCCCCACACUGGUACUGAGACAGGGACCAGACUCCUACGGGAGGCAGCAGUGAGGAAUAUUAGUCAAUGGUCGGAAGACUGAACCAGCCAUGCCGCGUGCAGGAAGAAUGCCUUAUGGGUUGUAAACUGCUUUUAUAUGGGAAGAAUAAGGCGUACGUGUACGUUGAUGACGGUACCAUAUGAAUAAGCAUCGGCUAACUCCGUG
This 478-nucleotide ribosomal RNA is filed under the name uncultured bacterium. RNAcentral's name for it is "partial 16S ribosomal RNA". It matches the Rfam family "Bacterial small subunit ribosomal RNA", at positions 28 to 507 of the family's 1533-position model. The record is from RNAcentral.